GCAGAGACACUAAGCAGAAGCAGCAGAGCUCGUAAAACUGCGCAGGUUUGAGGUUAUGGGUGUGUCCAUGGUGCCAUUAUGGAAGUCGUGUAUAAUUGCGGUUGGGUUAACCGCAGUGUGAGGUAUGAAUAACCAAUCUCAGCUCACGCCGUCAAACUGUAUGACUUGAAGUCAAGAGAUAACAGCACCGACUCAGGCUAAUGAAGACUGAAUCAUAGGUGAGGAGGGAUGAUCAUCACUCUUUCUCUCUAGAUGACAAAUGAAGUUGUCAUUCUCCUCAAGUGUGACUGGUCAUUUCGGCUGCACAGCAUCCAGCCUGUCUCCAAUGGACUGUAAUAGCUCCCUUUAACACCUGGCCAGAACAAUCACCAGCAGGGGGUGGUGUUUAUCCUCUCAAUGUCAAAGGAAACGUCUUGCUAUGUGCUUGGUUGAGUCACUGGGACCUGGGGGGACUGGACAGCCAGUGGAGGCGAUGUCUAAGGCACGCGACCAUGGGCCUUCAGCCCUUUGGGUAGAGAGAAAUCCAGUUUUCUCGACUAGACAGGUCUGAAGCUGGAGCGACAUCGCCUCAGGGAGCCCAGGCAGGGACGGUCACGUGGAGGGAGGCGGCCGGGCUGUAAACUGGCGUGGAUAUGGAUGGGCAGGAGAGACCUGAGGCACAUGCUGGCCAUCCAACGAGGGGAGACAAGCCAGACACAUCGCGGAGCCGCUGACAGGCUGUCUUACUGGGCUCCUCUUCCGUCGAGGGUCAUCUAUAUCAGAGGCUACUGCAGCUAUUCCUACCCGACAGUGGGCAACAAGAUGAUGUCACGGCG
This is a long non-coding RNA of Thunnus maccoyii (southern bluefin tuna), 815 nucleotides long. RefSeq lists it as uncharacterized. The transcript has 6 exons. The record is from RefSeq and is a predicted model, not a curated record. NCBI's taxonomy places the organism in Eukaryota, Metazoa, Chordata, Actinopteri, Scombriformes, Scombridae.